GGUUCCAGAACAAGAUAAAAGAUAUAUUUCCCACUUUCCAAAAAGACCCUCAAGUUCUGUUGUCGGAGAGUAGCUUGAUUAAGGCUGCCACAGGUCACCUAAUAUCCCUAAGCACAUCUUGGGCCUAUGUAGACUAUGUGUUCAUGCCACUCCUGCCCACGAACAAAGCUCACUGGAUGCUAGGUCUGGUAGAAUUUAGAAGUCAUACUUUGAUGCUGUUCAAUUCUGCUGGAAAAACUUAUCGUGAUUGGAAGGUGCUGGAAGGUAUUGAGUCUUAUGUGAAGGUAUUGCC
Molecule: long non-coding RNA, 292 nt
Filed under: Olea europaea (common olive)
Lineage: Eukaryota; Viridiplantae; Streptophyta; Magnoliopsida; Lamiales; Oleaceae
Description: long non-coding RNA (OEUR_LNC003640)
Source: RNAcentral